RNAcentral lists this long non-coding RNA (987 nucleotides) under Homo sapiens (human). Its description in RNAcentral is "HSALNT0268262". The record is from RNAcentral. Lineage: Eukaryota; Metazoa; Chordata; Mammalia; Primates; Hominidae.
GGUCAAGGAGCUGGAGGCCUGGGGAGGAGCUGGUGUUUCUGUUCAAGUUUGAGGGUCCUGGAGCUGGAGCCCAGGGGAGGAGCCAGUGCUGCCACUGAUGUCUUAGGGUCGUGGAGCUGAAGAUCCCAGAGGAGCCGGUGCUGCUAUUCUAGCUUGAGUUUCGUGGAGCUGGAGACCCAGGGAGAAGAUGGUGCUGCUGUUCUAAUUUAAGGAUCGUGAAACAGAAGACCCAGAAAGGAGCUGGUGCUGCCGCUGCUCAGAUCUGAGGGUGUUGGAGCUGGAGCCUGGGGGUGGAGCCAUUGCUGCCAUUGAAGUGUGAGAGUCAUUGAGCUGGAAGUCCAGGAAGCAGCUGGUGCUGCUGUUCUAGUUUGAGGGUUGUGGAGUGCAGACCCAGGCAGGAGCAACAUUGCUGUAGUUCGAGGGUCAGAAAGCUGGCGACCCAGGGAGGAGAGGUCUUGUUCUAGUUUGAUUUUCGUGGAGCUGCAGACCCAGGGAGGAGCAAUGUUGUUGUAAUUCGAGGGUGUGGUAGCUGGCAACCUGGGGAGGAGAAGUCUUGUUCGAGUUUGAGGCUCGUGGAGCUGCCGACCAGGGAGGAGCAAUUUUGUUGCAGUUCGAGGGUCAGGAAGCUGGCGACCCAGGGAGGAGAGGUCUUGUUCUAGUUUGAGGGUCGUGGAGCUGCAGACCCAUGGAGGAGCAAUUUUGUUGUAAUUCGAGGGUCUGGAAGCUGGAGACCCAGGGAGGAGAGGUCUUGUUCUGGUCUGAGGGUCCUGGAGCUACAGACCCAGGGAGGAGCAAUGUUGUUGUAAUUUGAGGGUUCGGUAGCUGGCACCCUGGGGAGGAGAAGUCUUGUUCUAGUUUGAGGGUGGUGGAGCUGCAGAGCCAGGGAGGAGCAGUGUUGUUGUAGUUUGAGGGUCAUGGAGGUACAGACCCAGGGAGGAGCCGUGUUGUUUUGAGUGUCGUGGAGCCGGAGAUCCACGGAGGAGCUGG